UACAGAGGGUGCGAGCGUUAAUCGGAAUUACUGGGCGUAAAGCGUGCGUAGACGGUUAUUUAAGUCGGAUGUGAAAGCCCCGGGCUCAACCUGGGAAUUGCAUUCGAGACUGAAUAGCUAGGGUGCGGUAGAGGGAAGCGGAAUUUCCGGUGUAGCGGUGAAAUGCGUAGAUACCGGAAGGAACAUCAGUGGCGAAAGCGGCUUCCUGGACCAGCACCGACGUUCAGGCACGAAAGCGUGGGGAGCAAACAGG
This 253-nucleotide ribosomal RNA is filed under the name uncultured bacterium. RNAcentral's name for it is "partial 16S ribosomal RNA". It matches the Rfam family "Bacterial small subunit ribosomal RNA", at positions 524 to 776 of the family's 1533-position model. The record is from RNAcentral.